Molecule: ribosomal RNA, 280 nt
Filed under: Escherichia coli
Lineage: Bacteria; Pseudomonadati; Pseudomonadota; Gammaproteobacteria; Enterobacterales; Enterobacteriaceae
Description: partial 16S rRNA
Rfam family: Bacterial small subunit ribosomal RNA
Source: RNAcentral
CGCUGGCGGCAGGCCUAACACAUGCAAGUCGAACGGUAACAGGAAGAAGCUUGCUUCUUUGCUGACGAGUGGCGGACGGGUGAGUAAUGUCUGGGAAACUGCCUGAUGGAGGGGGAUAACUACUGGAAACGGUAGCUAAUACCGCAUAACGUCGCAAGACCAAAGAGGGGGACCUUCGGGCCUCUUGCCAUCGGAUGUGCCCAGAUGGGAUUAGCUAGUAGGUGGGGUAACGGCUCACCUAGGCGACGAUCCCUAGCUGGUCUGAGAGGAUGACCAGCCA